RNAcentral lists this ribosomal RNA (164 nucleotides) under Cardamine pratensis. RNAcentral's name for it is "5.8S ribosomal RNA". It matches the Rfam family "5.8S ribosomal RNA". From Rfam's summary of the family: 5.8S ribosomal RNA (5.8S rRNA) is a component of the large subunit of the eukaryotic ribosome. It is transcribed by RNA polymerase I as part of the 45S precursor that also contains 18S and 28S rRNA. Lineage: Eukaryota; Viridiplantae; Streptophyta; Magnoliopsida; Brassicales; Brassicaceae. The record is from RNAcentral.
AAAACGACCCUCGGCAACGGAUAUCUCGGCUCUCGCAUCGAUGAAGAACGUAGCGAAAUGCGAUACUUGGUGUGAAUUGCAGAAUCCCGUUAACAAUCGAGUCUUUGAACGCAAGUUGCGCCCCAAGCCUUCUGGCCGAGGGCACGUCUGCCUGGGUGUCACAA